This is a long non-coding RNA of Gasterosteus aculeatus aculeatus (three-spined stickleback), 13156 nucleotides long. Lineage: Eukaryota; Metazoa; Chordata; Actinopteri; Perciformes; Gasterosteidae. The record is from Ensembl.
AGCUCCUGACGUACAUCCUCCUCCUCCUCCUCCUCCUCCUCCUCCUCCACCCGGCUUCUCACCUGCAUGUCUCGCAGUCCUUGUAGCACCUGCUUUCUCUCCUCCAGCUGGAGAACAUUAAAUAGUAGAUUCCAAUUUGCAGAUCUGUACAAUUAAAUAAAUCAUGAUUAUUAAACUGUCAACGUGUGGUAACAUUAGGAAACCGGUUCACCUGAUGUGUUUUUUAUUUUGUCUCACCCCAACUGUGUAGAUCUGAUGCCUCUCUCUGUCUCCCUUUCUUUAUUUCAUCAGUACAACCGCAGGGUCAUUCACAGUCUGCCUGCAUGCGUGUGUGUGUGUGUGUGUGUGUGUGUAUGUAUAUGAAAAAUAAACAGACUAACACAGACAAAGACGUAGACUCAUCAGACAGGCAGUACAUGCAAAGACAUAAUGGAAAAAUGCGGGACUGAAAUUCCUGGAAGGGGGAAAAUCACAGAGAGGAAAUGGACGGACCAAAGGAGAAUAAAGAAGGUGAAGGCAAGAAAAAGGGGAAACCAAUAAACUGAGUGACGCAUGGUCUCUCAUUUGCUCUGCAACCACCGGAUAAUGUAUCUCUAUUUCAUCUAGUUUGAUUUCUUCUCAAAAUAUGUUGAUGAAAAAGGGGAGAUGGAAGAGUAGAGCCAGAUAGGAGGGCGUAGAAAGAAAGAAGAAAGGACCAUUGGUUAUAUUGUAAUUAUAAAAACGAUAAACUACCAAUUAGAAAAGUUGACGAUAUAUUACUCCACUACCCGUGUAAUAUUGUGUAGUGUUCAGCGUCAUAUUUUCCUCUACAGUCAACAUGCAUGCACCUUCUUCUGAAGCUGUGUGCCGUCCCGCUGGUAUUGUUGCAGUUGGUUCGAACUCCACCUCCCUGUGCAGAUUCUCCAUCUGCUCCCUCAGCUGCAAUGCAUUCUGGGUUCUCUGCUCUUUCAGGGCAGCAGCCAGCUAGAAAUUCAAAGAGGGAGACAAAGGACACAUUGCCACACAAGUUAAAUAGUGUGUGUUCCUUCUCACACAGUAAUGACAUCACUACUGUAUUGGGGUUAAAGGAUUAGGCUAUAAAGGCUAAAAGUGACAAGGAAGUGUUGCUUUCAUGAUGAUGUAAACUGGAAGGACGACUGUCACACAAUUUAUUAACAAGCUUAACACUCUUACAUGCUGAAAAUGUGUCUGAUAAGAGACGCUGGUUGCAUUAUAGGUCUGAAUACAACCAAUGCCCGGAACUCAUAUUAUAAUAACAAGGGGCACUGUGGUUAUGCAAAGCUUUGGAACAGUGUGUGACAGUGACAUCUGUGUGACUGGCCUUGUCAUCAAACUCUGGCAGCCAAAAAGUGAAUUGUCAGCGACAUGAAACACACAGAUUUUGGCUGCGAGAGUGGGGCUAAAGUUGCAUGUGACAUAUUUUCAGUCGGGAUUAGCCAAGGCUACCUCGUUCUGCAGGAGAUCAGACAAACUGAGGGUCAGUGCCACGGGCUCAGGUCACGGCCGGUGUGUUUGUCUCUGUGUGUUUAUGCCGUCAAGUGUGAACAAAGAAAAACCGUCAGGGAGAAAAUAAGGACAGAUUGGUGUGUGUGAAAAUGUGAAUAUUUGUUCCGGUGUGUGUGCGUGUGUAUUAUGCUUGUGGUUUGAGAGACUAUGAGAGACUAAGAUUGCGUGCACUAGAUCAAAUGAGAAAACACCACUUCCUCUUAGCUCGGUGAGUGUGCGUGUGACGAUGGCCUGUGGGUGUAUAUCCUUUUGUGCAUGCAAUUGUGUGUAUCUGUGCAUGUACACAGCUGCCAUUUGUAUUGAAAAAGUGAUCACAUCCUUUAAUACCAGAAACACGGCAGGAAGCCGAUAAUGAACAAUGACUUGUAUGAACAUGUGUGUGCAAACUGUAACAUUACACCUAUAGAGUGCAAGCUGACUGAAGGCGAUAUCUUAUUUUAGAAAUGAAUUACACUUAAUGGAAAAUGAUCGGUGAGUUUGAUGAAAGUCUCAUUGACAGUAUAUACUAUAAAAUUAUAUUUUUAUGUAUAUUUAAAAUAACAAAAUAAUAUAAAAUGUUCUCAUUCAAUUUAGUGUCAAAACGUUUGACUGUUUCUGUCUGUGUACAAAAAAUGCAAUAUACAGACACAGAGGUGCACACUCACUCACAUACUCAUUAUUCUUCUGAGAUGAUAAUAACAAUAAGCUGGCUGGUUACAUUUAAUUAACGUUUACAUGUGGAGUAUAUGCUGUAAUGUAGAGCGGUGUGUACAUCUGUCUGAUGACAUGUGCUGGGUGAGUGACGAAGUUAAAUAAUUGGCUGGUGUUUAGUCAUCGGUUGUUGCUGUUUCAUAGUGAAUACGACAAAUGUUAACAUUUCUGGCCAGAAAAUUGGUUGAAUUUGAUCAUAAUUUCAUUGCAUUUCAUUUCAUUUCAUUGCAUUUCAGUACUCUAUAGAAAAAUAGUCCCUGUAUGCACGUAAACAGCAUUGGGUCUUCUUGGAAGAUCUUGCACCAUCUCAUCGCUCAUGACAUCCACCUUAAUAGUCCGGUUGCGGAAGUUUGCGUUGCCUGAAAACGAUAAUUUGUGGGAUUUCCGGGUCUUUUUCGGCGAUCGCCACCGAGUUAAAGGUUGAAACGUCAACUAACGAUCGCGCAAAAUCUAACCUGUUACUUUAACUGUACAUUAUCGCUCAAUAAUGCAACCCCGUGACUCUCAAGCAAUCAGAACGCUGGAUUUCAUCUACCCGUAUUAUAAUCAUUCAACCGGUUCUGUCUGAUUGUUUUACAGUUAAUCUGACAACUGGAGAAAUUGUCCUCAACCUCAAAUAUCACAGUCUUCAAUUUUAAAACCAGUAAUCCGAUUCGGAUCUGAAGAAAAGCCAGAGCACCGUUCAAUGUAAAGCAACAAUGUUGCACAAUUACUAAGAAUUUAUAAAAACAAAAGGAAAAAAAACAAUCAGACAGCAGUGAUUUAAUGCUAUGAUCUACUUUUCUACUCUGGUAUCUUCCCUGUUAAAGUCCUCUGAACUGUGACAAAGGCUUGGAUUCCGUCGUAACGUCUGUUUACUUUGACAGACUGGAACUAAAUGUCGGCCCGUCAGGAACCGAUACACCCAAAGUCACUGAGUAAGAGUAGCGUUUGGAUUUGUACAAGUUCAACAAACAGAACUGUAUUGUUGCUUCUACAGAGGAUAUAACCAAUAUCCACUUACAAUAACCAAUUUAUUGUGGUAUUUACUUACUUAUAAGGAUGUCUGGACCAGUUUUAUUCUUUUUUCAAAUAUAAUCCAGCAGCGUUGUGUACUGUUCCAAAAUGAUCAGGCAAUUUAAAUAUAUUGGGCAGUUAAUCAGCAGUACAAUCAAAAAUUACCUUUAAGUAAAUUUGCUGUUUGCAGUCUUCUUCGUCUUGGUCAGGGCUCUGGCAUGGGACUCUAUUAAAGGAAAUCAGAUAAACAUGUAAAUACAUUGCAGCAUUUGGUCCCUCAGAUAUCUCACUUUGCAAUACAAAUUGUGCCUGUGCCUCAGCUUAACGGUAAAGGAAUCCAGUGGCCUUCAGCUUGUUACGGUUUCUAAUUGCAACCCAUUGAAUUCCUUUAGGUUCACCUCUCCCAUUCCGAGAGCAUCAAAAACCUACAACGCCUCCAAAGCCAUCGAUCGCUUUGUUCAUUCCAGGCUUCUAGAAACACUGCAAUGGCAACAUGGCAGACUGCAUGGCAAAGGACCCGCUCCCUACGGCAUGUAAUUAUAACAAAUGCUCAUUCUAUGUGGACAAAAUAAACUAAUAGUUGAAUAUUAGAUUCCCUCUUUGCCAGUAAAUCCCCUGAAAUACAAAGUUCCUAUAAAAUGAAUGUGGACUCGAAAGUAAAACGAACCUGUUAACAUGAAGCUUCCACAGUGUAAUGAAAAGAUAAUGUAAAAAUAAGAAGAUACCACCUAGUCAGAGUAAAAUGCUCUCGCUCGUACACAAACACACACACGGGAGAUCCAUUAAGCAUUUUGUCAGUGCAGCACUUUUGGCAGUUGAAUAGAUAAGUAAGCCAACAUCACAUCUAUAUCCUGAUAAUCCAAAAGGCUUUGAUAAUAUGAUGAUCCUCUCAGCAUGUUCGGUUACACGAGGAAUAUUUAACAGGAACACUCCCAGCAGUCUCCAGGGGAAAAGAGACAGGGAGACGAUAAAGCAAAAGAAACAGCUGCAAAAGAAAGUCAGACAGAGUUGACAUAGCAGGGGGGAUUUCAUUGAUUUGCUGAUCCAAAUCCAAACAAAAUGUGUCAUCUCAGCAGCUGUUCAUGCUGAUAAGAUGUGUAGCAGCACGUAUCUGAAUCCAGCCACCGAGAAGUUAAGGCCGUAUGUUUCCUAACAAUAUUUGUUCAGUUUGAGUUGGCUGCAAAGGCCGAUGACAUGAUUUCAAUAUAAGUGUAAAUCCCAAUGUGACUGCGUCAUAGUCCUUUCUGUGAGUAAGUAGGCCCAUCUCUAAAAUAAAACUGCGUCAGCUAUGUGUGUGUCUGUGUGUGUACAAGCACAGUUGACUGUGUGUAUAUCUCAAAGUGGAGUGGAUGAUCUGCUGUAUGAUGGAGAGCAGCUACAGUCCAUCUCUUCCUAGUCGGUGCAGACACAAUAUUAUUCACUCCACUGGCUCUGGCUAAUCACAUCAGCCUACACACACACACACACGGAUGCAGACCCAGACAGACAGCCAUGCAUGAAUACUUCCCAAGAGUUGUAAGUUUGAUGCCAAGGUCUGACUCCAGCAGCUCAUUUAAAUGUGCCUAUCUUGUAAAAGAUGGGACUCGGAGGGGAGAUGUGAGCUUUAAAAGGAGUGUCGCUGUUCCACCAGCAUCAUGAAACCCUCCACCAGUAAGAAAACAUGACAGGUUAGACAGGUUCAGGGUUGUCCUGUGGCACGCACACCUCUACACUCUCGAUGUUUUGGGGUCAGCACAGAUAUAUUUAGGAUGGGAUGAGGACAUUUCUACUUUGCACGACCGACAUUAUAACAGUUUGUGUAAAAUAUUUUUGUCCAAAGCGCAUAAUCUUUUUGCAGUUGCUCUCAGCUGCUGAAAAAGUGAGGAUUUGAUGUUUUAUGAAGCUGAAGACUCUCUAGUGUACAACGAACUGCUGAUGCACGACUUCCUGCGUGUUUGUAUCCCGCUGUGAUCUAUAAUUCUGCUUCCCUGGUUAUUAAAAAAAGAAGACCCCUGCAAAGGUAGACGUUUUAAAAUCAACCCUAAGCCUGCAUGUGCACAUGUGUGCGUGUCGGCAUGUCUGUCUAUGCGUGUGUGAGACCCCCCGGGGAGCGGCAGCGUGCAAAUCCAGCCCUCGGAAGGAGGUCUGGGGGGAUUACAGGGAGGAAUGAUGGGAAAAUCUGGGAGCACUCUCUCAUUCACUCACACGCCAGGCUGCUAUUAAGGACAGGCGAGUGUGUGUGUGUGUCAGUGUGUGGGUGUGCGUGCGGCCUGAACGGCUGCUACCUCGUCUAAAGGCACAUUCUAUUUUUCCACUUAAUGCUGAUACAACCUGCGUCUGCACACGCACGCAAACAAGCUCAAUGGCAAUUUUAAAUAGUAUUUAUUGUUUAUGAAUCAACAACGUGGGUCAACAGGAAUCUUCCCUGAAAUCAUCUUAAACGGCCUCUUUGCUUUUUCUUCAGGGAAGAAGUCAAGAAUCUUCUCCCCAUGCUUUUGCAGCAGGCAUGGACUGACUUACGAAUGCACAGAAAACUUCCCUGUGAACAAAAAGGGCCGAGUGUCACAACUAAAGUACAAACCCAGACAACGAUUAUAUAAUGUUUACAGUCUGGGAGGAAAAUGUCAAAAAUACAAACACAGAAGAGAGAACAAAGCGCUGUUAGACAGUGAACAAAGCAGAAGGGAGGGAUCUUACAGGUGUGCUGUUGUGAUUCAUCUAUUUAAGUCUUUUAUUAGCCUAAUUGUGUGAAGCCAAACCACUUCCCUGUAUAAGGGAAGACAGAAGGGAUCAUCAGCUCGCUCACGAACACAUUCCUCCGCUGCUUGAAACAAGUCCUCUCACAUCUAACAGACGGAUGAGGAACUGCACAGAUCCUCCUGACCUCUCGUGAUUCUCUCCACCUUUUGCCACUCCACCCCCCCGCCCUCAUAUUUAUUUUCCUCGCUUACCGAAUCAAGGGCAAGCUGUCAUGUUUCAAGCGUGUGCGAUUGUUUGCGGCGCCUGUGACCCAGGCUGCGUGCACGCGACAGCCAGGCAGUGCAACGACUGCAACCGCAAGUCAUGCUCUCCACUCCUCCUCCACUGUAUCCGUCCUUCGCUUAUUCUUUGCCUCCCACUAUUCCUUCGUCCAUCCCUUCUCCACUCGUGUGUCUUGUAUGAUUCCCGACCCGCGGUCGCAGCGCGCUGCCGCUGGGAGGCCGUUGUCUGUUAGGUAACUUAUCUUUUUGCUGUCAGCGGGCAACUGGUUUUCAUCAACAACGGCUUUGGUGCACAAUAGACAAUUUAAAACUGCAGCCAAUAGAGACGAUGGGGAGGAAACAUAACGUGACGGACUGACUUUCUUCAGAAGCAGUAACUCUGCUUUAAUGUAGGUCUGUUUUGAGUUUAAUUUUACACAAAUGCCGCUAAUUUAAUCAUCAUAACAUCACUUAUUUUUCUCGUAAUUGUCCAUUCGUAGUGCGGAAUAAAUCGUCCCAGUACUUCAUUCUAUAUGGACGCUACAGCAAAAUUAAACAUUAUGGUGGGUAUGAAGGGGACAUGAAGCUACAUUUUCACCAUCAACACGUAUUAAGGUCUUAUAAACCCAUAUUAAGCAGCAGAAAGGCUAUUACGCAAUCCACAUCUGUCGUUACAAUCUACAGAACAAUCUACCCCGUUUGUAAACGCGUGGGGAGGGUUUAGCGUUGCACACAGAGCGUGUUUGAAUGAAUAUGAAUGACUACGGGAAGAGGAAAAAGAUGGAACUGGAUGAGAUUGUUAUUGGAGCCUUGGUAAGAGGAAGCACAGGAGCUUAACGUCUAUAAAUGUCGUAUAAAUCUGCGUGCGAGUGUGUAAGGACGACUUCAAAGGGAACGGCGUGCGAUUUUUUAUGGGCCGCUGGAGGUCAGUGGAAGUGGUCAAACCCUGACUUUAUAACAAAGGCACAUGAUAAUCUUGGAAUGUGCGUGCGUGUUCAUGUGCAUAUGUUUAAAUACUUGCAUUGUGAACACAAGCGAGUACAAUCAAUCAUUCAUCAGCCUCACAAAGAAGGACGUUUAGACACACACACACACACACACACAAAGAAACACUGACGUUACUGUUACUUACCCCUGCAUAGAGAUGACCUAUAUACACACCUAUACAUGUAAAUGGUUUAUUUCUGUUCAUCGCCAUGAAACAACCAGCUAUGGUGGAAAUGAGUGGAUAAUGUCCUCAAAGGAAAUCAAUAGUAUCAUAAGCUUGUUUGUGCUUAAGUAUUUAUUAUAGACUAACGUAUAGGAAAUUCAAGAAUAGACAAAUUAUCGAACAGACAGGAGUUCAUGGCUGCUGAAAGAGUGUUUCUCUCCCUGAGAGGAGCAGGAAGGUCUGACACAGCUUUUCGGAGGAAGAGAAGCUUUAGUACACAUCAGAGGUCCCUGAUGUCCACUCAGAAGGAAAAUCCUGCACAGAGUAACAGGACACAGGUGUGAAGGAAUGCACACUUCAAGCCACCCCAAGUUCACGAGAGGUCACAGAGUUUCCACGAGAACUCUGUGCAAUCGGAUCAAUUUAAGCCCAACACUAGCAAACCCACGUUGUGUCGAUUUGAUCAUCUGAAAUGAGGCACAAUACUCAUGGAGAGGUAACACCUUACAAAAGAGACCGGACAAAGCUUUACUCCCCUUGUGUGCUCUCCGAAACAUACUGGUUCAUCUCCCAAAAAGGGAUAUAUAAGUGAUGAUGUCACUUUUCAAACCAGCAAAGCGAAGCCAUGCACAGAAGCUGGCUUCCUGUGAGCUGCAUGUGGCCGACACAUUUUAAACCGCCGUUUAAAAUGUGACACAAAUAAGUCGCACAGGGAAGAUGUCAGAUCAGUUUAGAAACCGCAAAAGCACAAUGAGCAGUUAAAACUAGAAAUGUUCUUGAAACAGACUGAGUAGGAUGUACUGUUAAUCUGUUUUGUUAUGAGUGUUAUGUUGUUCAGGGGAAGAAGUUAAAUGGUUUUUGCUUUAGUUUGCGGUGUCGGUGGCGCUCUGGUGGCGUGGGAAGCUGUCGAACUGUCACAGUGACAGAGAAGGUGAGGAGGGUUGUUUUGUUGUUGCCCUGCUAGCAUGUGUGAGUUAGUGUGCGUCAGGGAGCUGUUGGUUGAGCAUGUGUGUGUAAUAAAAGGACACCUGCAAGAUGACGUCUCGCAGCUUUCUUUUUCCAGGGUUGCUGUACCAAACGUAUUCACGGUCCGGAGACACUCGUCGACGAACGUUGAUGUUAAACAUGCUCAAAUUCAAAACGCAAAGCCGACAAGCAUUGAGAGUUUAUUUUUAAAAUGGGUUUCUGGACGUUCCCCGUUAUACUCAAAAAUUAGAUGCUCGGUGAAACGGUAGUCUGUGAGCAGAGAGCAGAGCGGACGGAGCGGAACAGCACAGAUAACCCAGUCGGGACCUUUUCUCUCCUCAGCUCUCUCCUUUCCAGCUGGACCUUCUCCAGAGCUUCCUUCCCCCGUGUCACUUCCUCCUCAGCUGCGCAGAGUGACGCCAGCUGCCCCUGCAUGAUGUCACACCUGCGUUGGCAUGACAACCACCUCUCGUGUUUCUCCGCCAGCUCCUCUUUUAACCUGUCGACGAGAUGCAGAGGAUGAGCACAAACCCACACAUUUUCAUCUACAUUAUGUCUGUGCAUUUUACAUAACUAUACAAAACACACACUCGCGCUCACACAUGCCGGCAAACAGUAAGUCCACACUGACUGGUCAACAGGUGAGUUUAGGCGUCAGAGCAACUCUGUUAAGCUGUAAUCUUAUCAAGCUCCUUUUAGCGGUUGACACAUAUAAACACACCAAAGCUGGGUCAAACCCCAAACUCUAAUUAGUUAGCAUUAGUUUCGGUCAUCCCCCGCAGGUAGACGUCUUUUUUUUUUUUUUAAAUCAAUGGCACGCGAUCGACUGGUACUGCCUUUGAGAUCGACUACUCGAUCGCGAUCGACGUAUUGAGCACCCCUGAUCUAGCACAUCGAUGGAAAGACUAAUGAGGCAAUAAUGGAAAUGCACAGACAUGUUUUCUUAUCUCUCCUCCUUAGUCCAAGGAAAGCGUGACAAUAUAAAUGACCAUGAGUCAACAAUCCAUUACGGUAUUGACAAUCAGUUAAUGAAAAGACCUCAACUAAUUUGAAGUGAAACUGGAGAUAUUCAACAUAAAGCCGCAACUACUAGAUAGCGUAUAGAUUUCUCUCCAGAAAGCAAAGCUAGUUGACUGCAUACACAUCACUAUUAAGCAGGCAUGGGCUCCGAUCUUGGAUCAUUUCGCAAAUUGUUGUCUCCUGUUACGUUUCCUCUGAGCAAUGGAGGGAGCGGCCUUUCCUCCCCCAAACCUCACAUCCCUAUACGCAAAGAGCCGCCCCCGCCCCAAGUGGACGGCUAUCAUGUGUUGAGCAGCAUAGGAGCCAGAGGGUGAGAUCAGAGGCCGCUGUGUGGGAAGGGAAAUACAUUGACAGUGUAAUUGAACACACCAGGCUGCCGAUGGCUUAGAAAAAGAAUACCAGCAGAUACCAUGUGAAGAAAUACACACCCAACAUACAUCUAACGCCUGCACGGAGAGAUGAGAGGCCCCGCGUGUGUGUGUGUGUGUGUGUGUGUACACACCCCAUGUGUGGUGGGUGUGCUGCGUAUUAGUGGGAUGGAGCCCCAUAGAAGUGUCUCUGCAUAUCUAUAAUAUGCGCAUGCCUCUGUGCACAGAUGAGUGUGUGUGUGUGUGUGUGUGUGUGUGUGUGUAAGGGGAAACAUGACUCUACGCCAGCUAAGGAGUGCUUCCAUCUGUUUCACCGUCCUCACGCGAAGCAUUGUCACUGGUACUUUGGGGAGCCUAUGAUCUCCUCGACUGACCCAAGAGCAGAUCUCAGCUGACACUUUUAUCUCCACUUCUCUGCCGGAAGACGCAGAUGGAGGAAGAGAAGUGAAGCGUAGGAAGUGGAUGAUUUGGAGGACAAUGAGGCAGAUAAGUACGGGGAUUGUGGGAAAGCUGGAGACGUAUUUAUCACAUGGUAAAGCCAAAUUGCAGAAUAAAAAGCAAGAAGAGAGCACAGCAUAGUCGAGUAGUUUUCCCGUGUGUUGCUUCUCAGAGUCUUUCUGCUUCCCCUCACUAUGUCUCCUCUGCUUUCUAGGGACACCAAGUGCAAAGCAUGGUCAUUCAGUUGUUGAUUCAGAACGUUUCUACGCCCACAUAGAUGGAAAUAAAAUAACCCUCUUUAAAUAUAAUUCUCUUUAAUUGCAGCUAAAUUUCAAACUCAGGCAUAUGGAAAUAUAAUAUACCCGACCAGGGUAUGAUUUAACAUUCUCAAGUGUCAUUGAAAAGUACUUGAGAAGAUAAUAAAUCCAUACAACUCCUGUUCUGUCUACUCCUACGCUUCAAUCUCGGAGCGGAAGGAGCUUAACUUUGCCUUCGCCCCCCGGGAUCAUCAAAAGUUCAAGAAACCUCCUGGAUAUGACGACUCUUUUGGUCGGCAAAAUGGUUAUCAUUUUAAAAGUGAGCAGCUUUCCACAAGUUGUUUAGAACUUAUUGUAAAUUCAAAUAAGCUCCGAGUGUGAGGCUGAGUUUUUUUUAAAUCAACUCGUCCUCCAGCUGCUGCCUCGCUCUUGAGAAAGUAAAUUGGAAAUCAGUUUUAAUUCUAAUUCUGCGUGCCAUGACAGUAUUUGGUUCUCCCACCUCCUGUGCACACACACGCGCACGCACACACGCACACCCAUACACACACACACCCACACACACACUCUACCCUAACCCUCCCAACCCUGCCGGCUUCCCAGGCUAAUCCCCUCUCUGGCGGCAUGAUCAGUUAAUGUGUGUGUGUGUGUGUGUGUCUGUCUAGCCCGGUGACCUUGCAGUUACACGCAACGAGGAUACAAAGUGAGAGGGCUCGCACGUCUGAGCUUACAGGCAGACACCCUGUUUUCACUGCCAGCGUACCGAUUGUACCGAUUCAGUGCAGCUCAUCGCCAUCAAUCAUUUAUCAUUACAAUAGGGUGGCUGUUGUUUCUGCAAAAUGAAUAACUAGACGCUGUGCUGCUGAAAGCUGCUCAUGAGCAUAUUUGGUUUGAUUUAAAAAUAAAUAAAUAACAGCAGUAUUUUCAACAAUAUUUGAGUCACAUACAGGCAGAGGAACAGACAUAAGCACACAUAAUCACAAAGAGGGGAACACACUCACAGCUGUCUGGCACCAGUUGUCAGCCUCUCUUUGUACCUCUCAUCACACAUCUCCGUGUGCAUUUCAUCUCUCUCUCUCUCUCUCUCUCUCUCUCUCUGUUUUUUAGUUACUGGUGAAUUACAGCGUGCUCCUACACUCCGCCUGUGCAGCUACUGCGUUCUGUUUGUAACCCUCGUCCUUCUCUGUCCUCUUUCUGUCUCUGCGUUCAGACACCACUUCCAGGUGCUGUUUCCAAUAUUCGUUUAUCUGCUGGUCUCCUGUUUGUGACUCCUUCUCUGAGGCGAGAAGUGAGUACAGAUGAAUGAGAUGAGAUGUUUUGUUUUUUGUUAAUUGCUGUGAGGUGCAGGGUUAGAAGUGCAGUCAAGUGCACGGCGCACCGAGGGAGUAGCUGCAGGCGUGAUGUGUAAACAGUGGAAAAUAGGUGAGAUUAGCUCGUACGUUAUCAGCGGGCAUGUCGAGCGCAGCUUAGGACCACAGAUUUCCAUGGACAUGUGAGUCAAAUCUUUCCGUGCACGUCAGCUGCAUUCUCUUGAUGUCAAAGGGUCACGUGAGAAUUGAGUGUGUAAGAGACAACAUGGACUGUUUGUUCUGAACAACAAUGGCGGCUCUUAAUGAGGUUUGCCCAGAUGCUGCAAUGGCAUGAGUAACAUCAGCAGUGGAGGGUGUCUCUCCUUUGGAAGACAAACAAAGAACGGCCCUGAAGGCUUUUCUCUAGGGAACAACUCUGUCAGGCGUUUGAUUGACAUAUGGUUCAUCCAAUCACUUGCCACAUAUUGUUUGAAAGCCUCUUUGCCAAACACUUUAAAAUGCCUUGUCUCAGAUGGUUUGGUGUAAUAACAUCUAGCGGAUCAGGUUCAAUCACCUCCACUUGUAAUAGUUUGUACAUUAUAAAGUAAGUAACUGUCGAAUUGUGAAUCUUAACCGGUCAGUUACUUGUUGGAGGAGGGAAAAAGUCUGAUUUCGUAAGACCAGGAAAACACAGUGGACAUCGUGCUUAAUAACAGACUCCAGAUGGAUCGCACGUGCCGCCUAGAAAGCUGAAUAGGUGUUGUAGAUGACAGAUGCAGAUAAGAAUCAACAAUUAUCUUCACUCUGCCUUCCUGCUCAUUAUCCGAAUAAGUAUAAUAUACAAAUGAAAGCGAAGAAAACUGUUUACUACGAUCUCGUCAAAUGUCUGCAAAAUACCAAACCACCACAUGAGAGAGAAAAGCCUCUCUGCAUUUCAGGAAAAUACCAUUUAUUGUGCGGCAUGUGCUCACAUGAUAACAGAGCCCAGAGGGAACGAGAGAGAAAGCAGAGGGAUGAGUUGUUUAUGUGGUUGAUUUGAUCAAAUACGUGAUAAACACGGGGCUGAGGUGACGGCAGGGAGGAGAAGUGUCAGAGUGUGUGAUUGCCGGUCGGGAAAAUGUCAGAGCAACAUUUUGUAGGAAAUGAGGUCUUGGCCACACCCUGGAAUCAAUAGUUAUUCCCCCGCCAACAAGAAAAACACGGAGCACAAGCAUUAUACAAGCAUCUGCACUGCGCGUGCAUCUGCCUUGCGAAAACAAGCUGUAUCACAUCAAUCCCAGCAAUCCUUUGCUCUUUCUCUCUUGACCUUCACUCAUUCCAUCAACCACUCUUUCAUCUGUCCUCCCUCGCUCAGAGCAUCCAUCCCGUCUUUCAUCUGUCCCUCUCUUCCCUCUAAUCCUUCCUUUCAACCGGGCCUGCUUUCUGCGUUGGAUGAUCCAUGUGUUCAUCGCCUGAUGAAAGGCUGAGCUCAACGUCUCCUGCCAAUCAGGAUGCAGCAGGAAGCUUCCCGAACACCUUUGAUAUACUUUACGUGUCAUCC